RNAcentral lists this ribosomal RNA (253 nucleotides) under uncultured bacterium. RNAcentral describes it as "partial 16S ribosomal RNA". It matches the Rfam family "Bacterial small subunit ribosomal RNA", at positions 524 to 776 of the family's 1533-position model. The record is from RNAcentral.
UACGUAGGUGGCAAGCGUUGUCCGGAUUUACUGGGCGUAAAGAGCGCGCAGGCGGUUGUUUAAGUCGAAUGUGAAAGCCCCCGGCUCAACUGGGGAGGGUCAUUCGAUACUGAUCGACUUGAAGGCAGGAGAGGGAAGUGGAAUUCCGGGUGUAGCGGUGAAAUGCGCAGAUAUCAGGAGGAACACCAAUUGCGAAGGCAGCUCGCUGGGACGUAACUGACGCUGAGACGCGAAAGCGUGGGGAGCAAACAGG